UCCUGGAGCCGUUUCCCCCUCCGUCAGCGCUCGUCGCCGCGCGCCCAUGGCGCACUAUGGCCGAUCGAGCUUUAAUGGCGCCGUGGCCGCUUCUCCUCUGCACCCUCGGUCCCCUUACCCUGUGCGUCUCAUAGCUCGUCCGUUGCCUCCCUCGUCGCCUUCUCGCACCAUCCCGUGCUCGCUGGCCGUCGCCAGAGCCUCGGCCGGAUGUGCCCGGCGGCACCCGAGCCCAUCCCUCUCGCCCCGUCUAUAAAUAGCCCUCCCUGCGGCCUCCCGAGCACACCACUCGCCUCCCCUCACUCCUCUGGUCCUGCCUAGCCACUAGCCCGAGCUCGGGAAGCCCUCUUCGCCUCUGUUGGUCACCAUGGCCGCCGCCCUCCUCUACCUAAAUUGGCUCGGGCCAAGCCCUCCCUCUCCUCUUCUCCACCACCAGGCGACUCCCCUAUGUCCCGCGAGUCUUCCCCACCCCUCGGUUUCUCGCCGGAGGCCCUGUGGCCGCGCCUCCAUAGAACGGCCGCCGCCGGCCGUACUCUCUGUUGCCUCCAGCCGCAGCCGCCCUAGCUCUCCCCGGUGCCCGUGUCCUCUCUGGAUGGAAGCGACAUGGCCUCCAGAGCCCACCGGUGGCUUCGCCCUCACCGGAGACGGCCGGAGCCGGCCAAGCUCGUCGCCAUUUGCCCCUCCCCUGCCUCGCCUCUGCUUCUGGCCGGGGGAGCGGGGGAAGAAGACGACCGAGCCAGGCAAGGUGGGCCCCGCGUCGCCUCGACCCCACCAGUCAGCCUAAUAGGGUGUUGACCCCGGUGCCGACGUGGAUAAGUGACGGGCCCCACUCCACGGGACCCGCACGCAAGCGACCUCAAGCCCGGGCCCCGCCACUGUCCACGUGGAUAAGUGGAAGCGUACUUCCAAGGAGUACGUUUUCGCCUUCAGAAAGCGUAUUUCUCUUCUACUCCAGCCAGAUUCUUUUACAGAUCGGUCCCUGAACUUCGUCGGGCUAUAACUUUUUGCUCGAGACUCCAAAUGAGCCCCUCCGAAAGAGAACUGUUUCCGGCAAAUCUUUUCGCGGCUUCACCGCACUUCUUCCCGGUGCCUUCUUCAUCCCCAG
This is a long non-coding RNA of Triticum aestivum (bread wheat), 1102 nucleotides long. RefSeq lists it as uncharacterized. Lineage: Eukaryota; Viridiplantae; Streptophyta; Magnoliopsida; Poales; Poaceae. The record is from RefSeq and is a predicted model, not a curated record. The transcript has 3 exons.